UACGGAAGGCAGCAGUGGGGAAUAUUGCACAAUGGGCGAAAGCCUGAUGCAGCUAUGCCGCGUGUAUGAAGAAGGCCUUAGGGUUGUAAAGUACUUUCAUCGGGGAGGAAAAAACAAAACUAAUAAUUUUAUUUCUUGACGUUACCCGAAAAAGAAGCACCGGCUAACUCCGUGCCAGCAGCCGCGGUAAUACGGAGGGUGCUAGCGUUAAUCAGAAUUACUGGGCGUAAAGAGCACGUAGGUGGUUUUUUUAAAGUCAGAUGUGAAAUCCCUGGGCUUAACCUAGGAACUGCAUUUUGAAACUGAAAUACUAGAGUAUCGUAGAGGGAGGUAGAAUUCUAGGUGUAGCGGUGAAAUGCGUAGAUAUCUGGAGGAAUACCUGUGGCGAAAGCGGCCUCCUAAACGAAUACUGACACUGAGGUGCGAAAGCGUGGGGAGCAAACAGGGAUUAGAUACCCCG
RNAcentral lists this ribosomal RNA (460 nucleotides) under uncultured bacterium. RNAcentral describes it as "bacterial SSU rRNA". It matches the Rfam family "Bacterial small subunit ribosomal RNA", at positions 340 to 789 of the family's 1533-position model. The record is from RNAcentral.